This 237-nucleotide ribosomal RNA is filed under the name Triticum aestivum (bread wheat). Its description in RNAcentral is "partial small subunit ribosomal RNA". The record is from RNAcentral. Lineage: Eukaryota; Viridiplantae; Streptophyta; Magnoliopsida; Poales; Poaceae.
AUGUCCGUCCGCCUCAACGCCUAUAUAAAGGAUUACGUGUGGGCAAUAUUGAAACUGUACAUUCCAGUAGUAUCGCUGCUGUUUUUUUGCAGCUUUUGUAGUUGCUGGAACUAUGUGGUAUGGGUCAGCAACAACCCCAAUCGAAUUAUUUGGGCCUACUCGUUAUCAGUGGGAUCAGAGAUACUUUCAGCAAGAAAUAUAUCGAAGAGUUUGCAAUGGUUUAGCCAAAAAUCUUAG